RNAcentral lists this ribosomal RNA (353 nucleotides) under uncultured bacterium. RNAcentral describes it as "bacterial SSU rRNA". It matches the Rfam family "Bacterial small subunit ribosomal RNA", at positions 161 to 507 of the family's 1533-position model. The record is from RNAcentral.
ACUAACUACCGCAUAUUCUGUGAGCAAGGAAAGGAGGGGGAUCGCAAGACCUCUUGCUUUAGGAGCGGCCGAUGUCGGAUUAGCUAGUUGGCGAGGUAAAGGCUCACCAAGGCGACGAUCCGUAGCGGGUCUGAGAGGAUGAUCCGCCACACUGGGACUGAGACACGGCCCAGACUCCUACGGGAGGCAGCAGUGGGGAAUUUUGGACAAUGGGCGCAAGCCUGAUCCAGCCAUGCCGCGUGAGUGAAGAAGGCCUUCGGGUUGUAAAGCUCUUUCGGUGGGGAAGAAAUUGCUUCGGUUAAUACCUGGAGUAGAUGACGGUACCCGCAUAAGAAGCACCGGCUAACUACGUG